Molecule: ribosomal RNA, 402 nt
Filed under: uncultured bacterium
Lineage: Bacteria
Description: bacterial SSU rRNA
Rfam family: Bacterial small subunit ribosomal RNA
Source: RNAcentral
GACGAACGCUGGCGGCGUGCUUAACACAUGCAAGUCGAGCGGUAAGGCCCUUUCGGGGGUACACGAGCGGCGAACGGGUGAGUAACACGUGGGUGACCUGCCCUCAGCUCUGGGAUAAGCCUGGGAAACCGGGUCUAAUACCGGAUAUGACUCCAUGACGCAUGUUGUGGGGUGGAAAGCCUUGUGCGGCUGAGGAUGGGCCCGCGGCCUAUCAGCUUGUUGGUGGGGUGAUGGCCUACCAAGGCGACGACGGGUAGCCGGCCUGAGAGGGCGACCGGCCACACUGGGACUGAGACACGGCCCAGACUCCUACGGGAGGCAGCAGUGGGGAAUCUUGCGCAAUGGGCGAAAGCCUGACGCAGCGACGCCGCGUGAGGGAUGACGGCCUCGGUGUAACUACUU